GCGCCGCGCGCGAGGCGGAGCGAGGCGCCCGCCGCCGCCGCCGCGGCAAGCUGAGGGGCGAGAACCUGUCUCCGUGCCGCCGCUGACAGUAGGACGCUGUGGGCUGUGCUUGCCGCCCAGAAGGCCCUGCCGCGCCUUUCCGGGGCGCAGACCCGCCGGGGGGCGUCCAAGCGCAGCGAGGUGUUCUGGGAAUCGCGGGCGGCCGCGCUCCUCACAGGAGACCCCGGGGGCGGGGGCUGGACCCCGAGGUGCGGCGAGCCCCUCAUCGCGGCAGUUUUGGUAAUACACAAUAGCACAACCAUGUUUCGGAAUAGUCUCAAGAUGCUUCUUACUGGUGGGAAAUCAAGUCGCAAAAACAGGUCAAGUGAGAGAAUAUAGUUGUUUUCACAUCUAUACAGACAUACCAUGGCAUGUUGGAGAGCUCUACACACUUUUGGGAGACAAAAAAGGAAUAAAUUCCAAGGUAAAGUUGAAGUAAUCUCUGACUUCAAACUUCUUCCACUUAAGUUGAUAUAGCUCACCUACAUUCUUGGUCCUAAUUUAACACAGUUUCCUUUACCGGGAAUUUCUUAGUAAGCAUAGAUAUCUCUAUAGAUAAGCACUUCUUAGAUUCAUAGAACAAUGGAGCUGGAAAGGACUUAGAGCUUGUUUGUUUCGUUUUCUCAAUUUAUACUUUUUAAUGUUCUUUGAAAUUGGAACUUUGGGGGGAAAAAAAGCCCAGUGUAAUGACUAGUUAAAAAUAUGAUUAUAAUAUAAUAAAACUGGUUAAAAAUGUAAUUAAACAUCAACAAUGAUAAGUCAUGUUGAUAGUAUGUACUCUUGAUAUGAUGUGAUGAGAAUAGCAGUUUACCUCUGUGGUCUUCCUCCCAAAAACCCAUAACCCUAGAUUAAUCAUGAGAAAAACAUUAGACAAAUGUGUAUUGGGAUUUGUCUACAAAAUACCUAACCAGUAAUCCUCAUAACCAUUUUGGUCAUCAAAAACAAGGAAAGUCUGAGAAACUGUCAAAGGUCUAGAGGAGACAUAAAUACUAAAUGUGAUAUAGUAUCCUGGUUGGGACCCUGAAACAGAAAAAGGACAUUAGAUAAAAACUGAGGAAAUCUAAAUAAAAUGUGGACUUUAGUUAAUAAAAGUAUACCAAUAUUGGUUCAUUAGUUGUGACAAAUUACCAUACUAAUAAUGUAAAAUGGGAAAAUGAGUGUGGGGUUUAUGGAAUCUUUCUGUACUAUCUUCAUAACUUUUCUGUAAAUCUAAAACUAUUGUAAAAAAGUUUAUUUUUAAAAAGCAAACUGUAUAUAUAUACACACACACACACACACACACACAUACAAAAUUGUAGACACCUCAUUUUUAACAGCCUGUUAGUUUAGUUCAGUUGUAGGCUGGACUUUUUGUAUAGUUAUGGUGACACCUUGAAAGCACAGUCAUCAACUUUUAAAAUACUGACAUUAUUACUGGUGAUUGCUCCAUUUACAAUUGGCACAUUUAUUUUGCUUUCCUCAUACUAGUUAUCACUGAUGCAUAGCUACAUCAUGAGAAUCAAAACAUUUUAUGUUUAGCAGAACUUUUCUUGAGCUACAUAUAGAUCAGACUGUUUCUGGGAUAUUGUGGAUGCUAAGGUGAGUACAGAUUAAUAACUCAUAUGGGGAUGUUAUUUUUCUUUUAUAGAUUUAGAGUUAUGUAGAUCUAUUAAAACCUAUGAACUUUUCACCUUUAUAUUCAGGCAAGUUUUGAAAAUGUUUUAUAGUAUAUUUUUUAAGAGCGUUAACUAUGGCGCUGACAAUAUUAUGUUAAUAAGUUUAUUUUAUUUGGUGUAGUAUGCUUCCUUUUGUCUUUAGAAGAAGAGGUACUGUAGAGGUUUCUACAGAACCAACUCAGUUUUAGGUGGUUUUGGGCUUACCUGUGAAAAUUCCUAUUGAUAGAUAAAGGUCAUUGAGGUUGAUAUGGAGGAUGAAGCGCACUGGGCUUUGGAAUUAUGCUGCUCAUCUUUUUAUAGUGUCAGUUUGUUUGGGUAAGAAAAGGAAGAUAGUGGACUUCUUAAACUGUAUCUCAAACCAUAUCAGUAACACAGUUUUUUCUUAAAUUUGAUUAUAUGAACGUAUUAACUGUAGAGCUGGCCCUUGACAAUAUAAUUCAACAAGUGUUUAAGAAUACUCACACUGUAUGAGACUCCAUGUUGACACUGAAACUACCAAGAUGAGAAGACUUUCAGAGACACAUUUUGAGCUUCUUACAGUCCAGAGAUAGUCACAUAAAUAGUUAACUGCUAUAUAAUGUGGCAAUUGUGGGAGUACAGCUAUAUAUAAUGUGUUAUGGAAGCAUGGAAGAGGGAACAAUUAAUUAUUCCUGGUAAGCAUACAGAAAGUCUUUAUAGAAAAGAAAAAAAAAGGAAAGAACAUUUAAGCUGUCUUUAGGUGAGUGGAUGUUGUUGUUGAUUAUGAUGAUAGGUGAAGAUUCCAGUUAUCAUUUAAUAAGUGUUUACUUUGUACCAGGUGUCAUGCUGUGUUUUAUGCACAUUAGUACAACAACCCCAUAGAAUAUUACUGUAUCAGAUAAGGAAACUGAGGUUUAGAGAAUUUAAUUAAUUUUCUUAAGGUCACAUAGAUAGUUUAAAGAUUUAGUCCCACUCAGCAUUACUGGACACCAAGCACUAUUAAUACCUGUUGAAUACAAUUUUAUUAUAUAGUCAAGUAGAGAGAGCUGCGCUUUCGGUAGAGGAAACAGUAUUAAUAAUUGAUAGAGAAAAUAAUGCAUUUUCUCUUUGAAUAUCAUCAAGCAGUUUGGUGAUGCUAGAAUAUAAUGGGCUGUAUUAUUUAGGAUUCUAUGGUUGCAAGUAACAGAAUAUUUGACCCAGAAUUUCUAAUACCAGGGAUUAGCAAACUUUUUCUGUAAAGGGCCAGAUAGUAAAUAUCUUGAGCUUUGUCACAACUGCUAAACUCUGUUGUGUAGCACAAAAGCAGCCGUAUACUAUAUGUAAAUGAGUGAGCGUGACAGUGUUCUAAUAAAACGUUAUUUAUGGAUACUGAAAUAUCAAUUAAAUGUAAUUUUCACAUGUAACAAAAUAUUAUUCUUCCUUUGAUUUUUUAAAAAAUCAUUUAAAAAUGUAAAAACCAUUCUUAGUAUUCAUUGGUCGUCCAAAAACAGGUGGCAGGCCAGAUUUGCCCAGUGAAUUGCAGUUUGCUGACACUUGGCUUAUAUGAUAAAGAGGAUUUACUGAAUAAUAUAAUUGCAGUCCAGAGAUAGAAUUGUUUUUGUUAGUAAUUCAGUGAUUGCAACAAGGAAUCUGUUGUCUUCCAUCUGUCCACAUUAUCUUUCACAAUGUUGACUUCAUCCUAUGUUUUAUUCUAUCAAUGUUUACAAGAUGGCAGCCAGCAUAUUCAGGGGCUCCACAAAUCUUCCCUGACUAAGGAAAGAGAAAGAAGACCUUUUUCAGAAGCUCUUUCUAAUCUCUCUUGAACUUAAUCCCAUCAGGUUUUACCUCCACCACUCCACAGAAACCAGGCUAAAUUAUCUACAUUAGCUAAAUUCAGUGGUCAAGUCUUAGUCUUCAUAUUACUUGACCAAUCAACAUUUGGUCGUUUCCCCUCUUUACUUGACUUCUAUACUCUUCUGGUUUUGUCUCUCUUCUCUGUCCACUACUUCUUACUCUCUGCUGGCUCCUCCUCAUGCCCCCAGCCUCUACCUUUUAGAUUCAACAUCAAGGCUUAGUCUUCUGACCUUUUUUCUCUUUCUCUGUUUCUCUCUUAUUGAUGCUCCCUUUCUUGGGGAUCUCAUACAGUUUAAAUCUGAUUUAUAUGUUGAUGGCUUAUAUAUAAGUAUUUCUGCUUAUAUGUCUAAUAGGCAUCUCAAACAUAAUAUGACCCAAACUGAGCGCGAGGUACCCCUUUCAUCCCUGAACCUGUUCUCUCAGUCUUUUCCAUCUCAUGAAAUUGCAGAUCCAUUCUUCGGGCCAAAACUAUUGGAAUUAUCCUUGACUUCUUUCUUUCUCUUAUUCUUCUGACAGCAAAUUCUUUUAACUGUACUGUCAGAAUAUAUCGAGAAUCUGACCUCUUCUUACCACUUCCACUGCCUGCUUAG
Molecule: long non-coding RNA, 4075 nt
Organism: Trichechus manatus latirostris (Florida manatee)
Lineage: Eukaryota; Metazoa; Chordata; Mammalia; Sirenia; Trichechidae
Exons: 3
Source: RefSeq, a predicted model, not a curated record